Long non-coding RNA from Sebastes umbrosus (honeycomb rockfish), 219 nucleotides. RefSeq lists it as uncharacterized. NCBI's taxonomy places the organism in Eukaryota, Metazoa, Chordata, Actinopteri, Perciformes, Sebastidae. The transcript has 2 exons. The record is from RefSeq and is a predicted model, not a curated record.
ACCUUCGUCUGGUCAGCUAACAUUACUGCCAAGCAGGUGAAAUAUAGAGUGAUAUUGUGGUUUUAGCUGACGUGUGUCGCCUCACUGUUUUGACCGAUGCUCGUUCAUGUUUAUGUAGAGUGAGCAAAGCGCGAGCCCGACUCUGAAUUUCGUUGACUUAACGGCCACAGGUGUCGCUGUUAACAAGCAAUUUCUGAUUCUUACAUAGAGUCCCUUUAA